GAUUUUGGCACACUCGUUAAAUUACGAAAAUAAUUGGACCAUUCGACGUUAUACUUCAUAGAAGAUAGUACCUAACACUACGGCGAUUUUUUUUUUUACAAAACCACGUUACGACUUACGUUCAAAUAGAAAAAUGACGACCAUAAAUCAUUAUUAUAAUUAUUAUGGGGAUAACGCUGCCCCCAUAAAUAAGGGUGAAGCAAAAACAAAUGACAAUCAAACAAAAAAUCAAAAAAAAAAAACAAAAAAACCUAAACCGAAAUGUAAAACGUGUAAUAAGGGCCACUAUGGCCGCUGUAGACGGCAGCCCGUGGCAUCUCUAAAAAAAAAAA
This is a long non-coding RNA of Aphis gossypii (cotton aphid), 332 nucleotides long. RefSeq lists it as uncharacterized. The transcript is spliced from 4 exons. The record is from RefSeq and is a predicted model, not a curated record. NCBI's taxonomy places the organism in Eukaryota, Metazoa, Arthropoda, Insecta, Hemiptera, Aphididae.